GCCAGGCAUGGUGGCUCAUGCCUGUAAUCCCAGCACUUUGGGAGGCCGAGGUGGGUGGAUCACCUGAGGUCAGGAGUUCGAGACCAGCCUGACCAACAUGGUGAAACCCCAUCUCUA
This 117-nucleotide signal recognition particle RNA is filed under the name Gorilla gorilla gorilla (western lowland gorilla). RNAcentral's name for it is "Metazoan signal recognition particle RNA". It matches the Rfam family "Metazoan signal recognition particle RNA". From Rfam's summary of the family: The signal recognition particle (SRP) is a universally conserved ribonucleoprotein. It is involved in the co-translational targeting of proteins to membranes. The record is from Rfam by way of RNAcentral. Lineage: Eukaryota; Metazoa; Chordata; Mammalia; Primates; Hominidae.